RNAcentral lists this ribosomal RNA (492 nucleotides) under uncultured bacterium. RNAcentral describes it as "partial 16S ribosomal RNA". It matches the Rfam family "Bacterial small subunit ribosomal RNA", at positions 29 to 507 of the family's 1533-position model. The record is from RNAcentral.
AGUGAACGCUGGCGGUAGGCCUAACACAUGCAAGUCGAACGGCAGCACAGUAAGAGCUUGCUCUUACGGGUGGCGAGUGGCGGACGGGUGAGGAAUACAUCGGAAUCUACUUUUUCGUGGGGGAUAACGUAGGGAAACUUACGCUAAUACCGCAUACGACCUACUGGUGAAAGCAGGGGAUCUUCGGACCUUGCGCGAUUGAAUGAGCCGAUGUCGGAUUAGCUAGUUGGCGGGGUAAAGGCCCACCAAGGCGACGAUCCGUAGCUGGUCUGAGAGGAUGAUCAGCCACACUGGAACUGAGAAACGGUCCAGACUCCUACGGGAGGCAGCAGUGGGGAAUAUUGGACAAUGGGCGAAAGCCUGAUCCAGCCAUACCGCGUGGGUGAAGAAGGACUUCGGGUUGUAAAGCCCUCUUGUUGGGAAAGAAAAGCAGCAGGUUAAUACCCCGCUGUUCUGACGGUACCCAAAGAAUAAGCACCGGCUAACUUCGUG